This 1167-nucleotide long non-coding RNA is filed under the name Chloebia gouldiae (Gouldian finch). Its description in RNAcentral is "Erythrura gouldiae (Gouldian finch) lncRNA (ENSEGOG00005005140.1)". Lineage: Eukaryota; Metazoa; Chordata; Aves; Passeriformes; Passeridae. The record is from RNAcentral.
GUUGCCUCUUAGCCAGCUGAACUCAGAAAUUCCUGUUCUCCUGGGCUCCAGCCAGCUGAGAGCUCUCCUGCCUCACGUUUGUCCUCCCCGAGCAUCUCCUGGCAGCUUUUCCAGCUCUCCCUCUCGGGGUCCUGCCCAGAGGGACAAAUGGGGCCGAGCCUCAGCGUGGCCUCCAGCAGGACGUGUCCCUCUGAGAAGGUGAUCUCCCCCCAGAGAGGCUUUUUCAGCGCUGCCCAGCACAAAGACAGCCUCCAGAAGGUUUUCUGCUGCCCUUCAGCAGUGCAGACCUUAAACAUGGAGAGGAUUUUUACAGUGAAUAGCUUAAAUAGGGAGCAGCUGUGCCAGACGAGGCCUUUUGGGUGCCAGAGGAGGAAUUUUAACCCAUCCUGGAGCUCAGCUGCAGCAGCUCUGCCCCUGUUGCCUCUCAUGGAUGCACUGACUGGAUAUCCUGGAGAUGCAAAACCUUUCCACCUCCUGGAGGUCUCAAACCUUUGCUUUGUACCUGUGCAGCUUCGCCACAACCAGCUGGAGUUCAGCCUCAAAAGAAGGAUGUGGUUUUGCCCAGUAUUUCAAUUUGAUCCAACACCCCUGCCUGGUGGUGUUCCACCAAACUGCUCCUGAUCCAGAGGUGCUGGUGCAUCCAGAGGGACGUGGCUGGCUCAUGGACCAGACUGGAGAUGGUGGAGAAAUGAGAAUGUCAGCUAUGCUGAAUUCCAGGUUUAAGACUUUGAGGAGAUCCUUCUGCUUUCCCUGGGAGUGGAGCCUUGGGAGAGGAGCUGAGGAGCAGCCCUGGAGUGCCCUUGGGAGGAUGGUGACCUGAGGCCUCCUGUGAGUGACCAUCACCUGGCUCCCCCAGGUACCUCCCCUGCCCUUUCCUGGCUGUUUUAUCCCCAGAGGAUCCAUCUGCUGCUUUUCCCUUGAUUGCUGUAAACAGAAUUCCUCCCAAGGCUGCUGUAGCCAUUCCUAGCCAAGCUGAGGGAUGACCUGUCCCUUCCCAGUUAUUUAAUGAACAGCAUUUACUGGGAUCCCCAGUAAGAGUCUCUGGCUCUCCCUGAAAUGCUUUCUGAGCUGAAAACCAGAUAAUAUUGGGAGUAACUUGGACAUUUUGGGAUAUUUCAUGUCAAAGGAAUAUGGUAGAAUUACACAAUAAGUAUUGGUUCCCAUUUA